CCUAGAGUGGCACUGUGGUUUGAGCAUUGGACUACAACUCCAAAGAUCAGGGUUCAACUCCCUGCUUGACCA
Phrynosoma platyrhinos (Desert horned lizard) is the source of this 72-nucleotide non-coding RNA. Lineage: Eukaryota; Metazoa; Chordata; Lepidosauria; Squamata; Phrynosomatidae. The record is from the annotation of a GenBank genome assembly.